This 171-nucleotide ribosomal RNA is filed under the name uncultured archaeon. RNAcentral's name for it is "partial 16S ribosomal RNA". It matches the Rfam family "Archaeal small subunit ribosomal RNA", at positions 312 to 460 of the family's 1478-position model. The record is from RNAcentral.
GAUUCCCGCCGCGCCCCGCGCCCGAUCCCGCCGCCCCCGCCCGUGCACCAGUCGCGAAACCUCCGCAAUACGCGAAAGCGUGACGGGGUCACCCCGAGUGCCGCCCGCUGAGGGUGGCUUUUCCCCAGUGUAGCCAGCUGGGGGAAUAAGGGGAGGGCAAGUCGGGCGUCG